This 2117-nucleotide ribosomal RNA is filed under the name Enterococcus lactis. Its description in RNAcentral is "partial 23S ribosomal RNA". It matches the Rfam family "Bacterial large subunit ribosomal RNA", at positions 1 to 2128 of the family's 2925-position model. Lineage: Bacteria; Bacillati; Bacillota; Bacilli; Lactobacillales; Enterococcaceae. RNAcentral also lists the same sequence under 1 other name. The record is from RNAcentral.
GGUUAAGUGAAUAAGGGCGCACGGUGGAUGCCUUGGCACUAGGAGCCGAUGAAGGACGGGACUAACACCGAUAUGCUUUGGGGAGCUGUACGUAAGCUAUGAUCCAGAGAUUUCCGAAUGGGGGAACCCAGCAUCUUUAAUAGGAUGUUACGAUUGUGUGAAUACAUAGCACAUUCGAGGUAGACGCAGAGAACUGAAACAUCUAAGUACCUGCAGGAAGAGAAAGAAAAUUCGAUUCCCUGAGUAGCGGCGAGCGAAACGGGAAAAGCCCAAACCAACAAGCUUGCUUGUUGGGGUUGUAGGACUCCAAUAUGGUCGUUCUUUCAGAUAGUCGAAUGACUUGGAAAAGUCAGUCAAAGAGGGUAAAAACCCCGUAGACGAAAUGUGGAAGACACCUAGGAGGAUCCUGAGUACGGCGGAACACGAGAAAUUCCGUCGGAAUCCGGGAGGACCAUCUCCCAAGGCUAAAUACUCCCUAGUGACCGAUAGUGAACCAGUACCGUGAGGGAAAGGUGAAAAGCACCCCGGAAGGGGAGUGAAAUAGAACCUGAAACCGUGUGCCUACAACAAGUCAAAGCCCGUUAAUGGGUGAUGGCGUGCCUUUUGUAGAAUGAACCGGCGAGUUACGAUUGCAUGCGAGGUUAAGUUGAAGAGACGGAGCCGCAGCGAAAGCGAGUCUGAAUAGGGCGUUUGAGUAUGUAGUCGUAGACCCGAAACCAUGUGAUCUACCCAUGUCCAGGUUGAAGGUGCGGUAAAACGCACUGGAGGACCGAACCCACGUACGUUGAAAAGUGCGGGGAUGAGGUGUGGGUAGCGGAGAAAUUCCAAACGAACUUGGAGAUAGCUGGUUCUCUCCGAAAUAGCUUUAGGGCUAGCCUCGGAAUUGAGAAUGAUGGAGGUAGAGCACUGUUUGGACUAGGGGCCCAUCUCGGGUUACCGAAUUCAGAUAAACUCCGAAUGCCAUUCAUUCAUAUCCGGGAGUCAGACUGUGAGUGAUAAGAUCCAUAGUCGAAAGGGAAACAGCCCAGACCACCAGCUAAGGUCCCAAAAUAUAUGUUAAGUGGAAAAGGAUGUGGGGUUGCACAGACAACUAGGAUGUUGGCUUAGAAGCAGCCACCAUUUAAAGAGUGCGUAAUAGCUCACUAGUCGAGUGACCCUGCGCCGAAAAUGUACCGGGGCUAAACAUAUUACCGAAGCUGUGGAGUACACCUUUAGGUGUAUUGGUAGGAGAGCGUUCUAAGGGCGUCGAAGGCAGAUCGUGAGGACUGCUGGAGCGCUUAGAAGUGAGAAUGCCGGUAUGAGUAGCGAAAGACAGGUGAGAAUCCUGUCCACCGAAUGACUAAGGUUUCCUGGGGAAGGCUCGUCCGCCCAGGGUUAGUCGGGACCUAAGCCGAGGCCGAUAGGCGUAGGCGAUGGAUAACAGGUUGAUAUUCCUGUACCCGUUGUUUUUGUUUGAGCAAUGGAGGGACGCAGGAGGCUAAGGAAUGCAGACGAUCGGAAAUGUCUGUCCAAGCAGUAAGUCUGAAGAGGAGUCAAAUGCUUCUUUUCUUAAGGACAAGCUGUGAUGGGGAGGGAAAUAAUAGUACCGAAGUUCCUGAUGUCACACUGCCGAGAAAAGCUUCUAGUGAGAAAACAGCGGCCCGUACCGCAAACCGACACAGGUAGUCGAGGAGAGAAUCCUAAGGUGAGCGAGAGAACUCUCGUUAAGGAACUCGGCAAAAUGACCCCGUAACUUCGGGAGAAGGGGUGCUGAUCAUACGAUCAGCCGCAGUGAAUAGGCCCAAGCGACUGUUUAUCAAAAACACAGGUCUCUGCAAAAUCGUAAGAUGAAGUAUAGGGGCUGACGCCUGCCCGGUGCUGGAAGGUUAAGAGGAGUGCUUAGCGCAAGCGAAGGUACGAAUUGAAGCCCCAGUAAACGGCGGCCGUAACUAUAACGGUCCUAAGGUAGCGAAAUUCCUUGUCGGGUAAGUUCCGACCCGCACGAAAGGCGUAACGAUUUGGGCACUGUCUCAACGAGAGACUCGGUGAAAUUUUAGUACCUGUGAAGAUGCAGGUUACCCGCGACAGGACGGAAAGACCCCAUGGAGCUUUACUGUAGUUUGAUAUUGAGUGUCUGU